RNAcentral lists this ribosomal RNA (497 nucleotides) under uncultured bacterium. RNAcentral describes it as "partial 16S ribosomal RNA". It matches the Rfam family "Bacterial small subunit ribosomal RNA", at positions 28 to 507 of the family's 1533-position model. The record is from RNAcentral.
GAUGAACGCUGGCGGCGUGCCUAAUACAUGCAAGUCGAGCGAACAGAUGAGGAGCUUGCUCCUCUGACGUUAGCGGCGGACGGGUGAGUAACACGUGGAUAACCUACCUAUAAGACUGGGAUAACUUCGGGAAACCGGAGCUAAUACCGGAUAAUAUAUUGAACCGCAUGGUUCAAUAGUGAAAGACGGUUUUGCUGUCACUUAUAGAUGGAUCCGCGCCGCAUUAGCUAGUUGGUAAGGUAACGGCUUACCAAGGCAACGAUGCGUAGCCGACCUGUGAGGGUGAUCGGCCACACUGGAGCUGAGACACGGUCCAGACUCCUACGGUACGCAGCAGUAGGGAAUCUUCCGCAAUGGGCGAAAGCCUGACGGAGCAACGCCGCGUGAGUGAUGAAGGUCUUCGGAUCGUAAAACUCUGUUAUUAGGGAAGAACAAAUGUGUAAGUAACUAUGCACGUCUUGACGGUACCUAAUCAGAAAGCCACGGCUAACUACGUG